This 483-nucleotide ribosomal RNA is filed under the name uncultured bacterium. RNAcentral's name for it is "bacterial SSU rRNA". It matches the Rfam family "Bacterial small subunit ribosomal RNA", at positions 30 to 507 of the family's 1533-position model. The record is from RNAcentral.
AUUGAACGCUGGCGGCAUGCCUUACACAUGCAAGUCGAACGGUAACAGGUCUUCGGAUGCUGACGAGUGGCGAACGGGUGAGUAAUACAUCGGAACGUGCCCGAUCGUGGGGGAUAACGGAGCGAAAGCUUUGCUAAUACCGCAUACGAUCUACGGAUGAAAGCAGGGGACCGCAAGGCCUUGCGCGGACGGAGCGGCCGAUGGCAGAUUAGGUAGUUGGUGGGAUAAAAGCUUACCAAGCCGACGAUCUGUAGCUGGUCUGAGAGGACGACCAGCCACACUGGGACUGAGACACGGCCCAGACUCCUACGGGAGGCAGCAGUGGGGAAUUUUGGACAAUGGGCGAAAGCCUGAUCCAGCCAUGCCGCGUGCAGGAAGAAGGCCUUCGGGUUGUAAACUGCUUUAGUCUAGGAAAAAGGGGUGCGAGGUUAAUACCCUCGUGCUUUGAUGGUACUGGAAGAAUAAGCACCGGCUAACUACGUG